GAUGAAGAACGUAGCGAAAUGCGAUAAGUAGUGUGAAUUGCAGAAUUCAGUGAAUCAUCGAAUCUUUGAACGCACAUUGCGCCCUAUGGUAUUCCGUAGGGCAUGCCUGUUCGAGCGUCAUUCAAACCUUCAAGCUCUGCUUGGUGUUGGGCGUCUGUCCUGCCUCACGGCGCGGACUCGCCUCAAAUCUAUUGGCGGCCGGCACGUUGGCUUCGAGCGCAGCAGAAACGCGAACUCGGGACCGGCGGAUCGGCUCCCAGAAGCUACCCCCAUGAAUUUGACCUCGGAUCAGGUAGGGAUACCCGCUGAACUUAAGCAUAUCAAUAAGCGGAGGA
This 335-nucleotide unclassified non-coding RNA is filed under the name soil metagenome. Its description in RNAcentral is "partial contains 5.8S ribosomal RNA, internal transcribed spacer 2, and large subunit ribosomal RNA". The stretch from base 1 to 120 matches the Rfam family "5.8S ribosomal RNA", at positions 35 to 154 of the family's 154-position model. The record is from RNAcentral.